UGUGGCAAACCACCCAUCAUCAGUCUGUUCCUACUCCUUUUGCCUGUGUUUCUGGUCAUUUCUGGCAUUGAACAAGGACAAAGUGCAGCCACGUGCCAACACAACUUAUACCCUCUAUGUGACGCUUGGCAACAACGUGAGGGCUUCUUCCCUCCCCUCGCUGCACAGCCACCCUCCAAGUUACACGAGCGUCUGGAGCUCUCUCCAAGGUUAGAUCAUGUCCUCUUUGUACCUGGUGAUAUACAAUGAAUCUCUCUUAUUAUGUCACAAAAACUGUGCCUCUUCACACUAGUUAUGAAGAUUUCUGCGGAGGGACGAAUGUAUUUGCAGUCACGGCUGACUCUUCAUGAUGCCAUCUGGGAUUU
Phascolarctos cinereus (koala) is the source of this 365-nucleotide non-coding RNA. NCBI's taxonomy places the organism in Eukaryota, Metazoa, Chordata, Mammalia, Diprotodontia, Phascolarctidae. The record is from RefSeq and is a predicted model, not a curated record.